This is a long non-coding RNA of Athene cunicularia (burrowing owl), 3834 nucleotides long. RefSeq lists it as uncharacterized. Lineage: Eukaryota; Metazoa; Chordata; Aves; Strigiformes; Strigidae. The transcript has 3 exons. The record is from RefSeq and is a predicted model, not a curated record.
CAGAGCAGGGAACUCUUUGCAUGGGUGGCUUUGCCGGGAUUUGAUGGGAUGUAUUUGUCUGCACAGACUGCCAGGACCUUGUUGCUAAGCAGAGAGUCGCACGUUGGCCAGUCUGUCUCAGGACCAGCUGAAGAAUUGUUCUGAUCCCCCGCCAUGUAGCCCUGCAUGCCCUCUGCAGGCUGGCCUGGCUGCAUUGGAAAUGUGCCACGUUGCUUGCAUAAAACAUCUCCAAAGUUUAUAUAUAGAAAUAAAUCAAGGAGCUGCAAAGCCUGGGCAGACAGUGCAAUGCCUGCAGAGGAAGGAUGGCUCCCAGCAGUGCCCACAGCAGCAGCAGCAGCGCCAGCCCUGGGCUCUUCUUUCCGUGCUGCCUGGGGACUGAGAGAGGGACCAGGCCAGUGGGGUUCCUGGUACAAGAGGAAGCCUCCUGCUGCAGAACAAGUAACAUCUGAUGACAAGUGCUGAAACUGAGGCUCAGAUGUCUGUUGAGGAGCAGAACUGGAGAAAGCAGGUCAGGAUCCAGGAGACGCCUAAUCCAGCCAGACAUCCGGGGCUGGAGGAGCAGGAGGAUGUACUGAACAAAAAGAAGAGCUUGCAGAUGGUCCCUGUAACAGCACCGAGCUGAAUGGCAACCAUGACAGUGUUGUUUUCCCCUUACACGAUCACCAGGGCUGUGCUAAAGCAGGGAGAGACAACGCAGGAGCAGGGAAGAGGAAGAGGGACUCACUCAUUAGGGAUGGCUGAUACUUCUGAGACAGGCUUUUAUGCCUGAACCACUCUGCCAUGCCCUGACAUGAUGGUUUUCUGAAGGCAACAAAACCAACACAGCAGGGUAGGAAACAGCAUGGAGGUGAGCAGGGAGCUAGACAGUGAUGGCAGGACUGUGUUGCUGCAAAACAGGCCAGCAGAGAUGGGAGUUUGGAGUUGGAAUGGCUCCUGGAUGGGGUAUUGGCACUUGCCAGGUGUAAGAGGGAGCCUCUACCCUGGCCAUCAGGCUAAAACAGUGACUUUCCAGGCUGGCCCAAAGGCUGUAGCAAGUGGGUUCAUGUGUUCCAAGUCAGACCUCUCGCCAAUUAAUCAACAGUUUGGAAAACAUUUAUUAGAACCCCCUUGGUGCUUCUGGACACAUCUCCCUGGCACAAAGGAGCACCGUUUGGGCAUGGCCAUUUAUCAUGGCUCCAGGGCUCCAGCCUGCUGGUGCUCAGCAGCCUGUACUGUCCUGGAGGAGAUGCUUGCAGCCUCCAUUCCUUCAUCCCAGCAGAUAUGGCACCACCUCAGGGCUGCUGUGGGGGGACUGGCAGCCACUUUGGAGGGGGAUCUGAGGAAAGACUUGAAGACUAGUGUGUGCCUGGAGUGCUCUGUAUUUGCACCUGCCCAUGUGGAAAGGCUGUUUCUCAGCUGAAAUCCACACUGUGGACCCUUCCUUUAUAUUCCUUUCUCCUUAGUCUUUGCAGAUGAUUUCAAGCAAUGCAGUUUUCCACUUUCUAAUAAGCAAUUUAAUUGCUAAAGGGCAGCUUCUCUGCUGAAGGCAACUGAAGCCAAGGGAGCUGUGACAGUUCAUGCCAGCUGAAGCUUUGCCUUUAAGUAAAUGUUUUAAACUUUCCACUGAGGAGACUAAAAUAAGCCAUAGCAUGAAACAUUAAGAGCAAAGAAUGAACUCUGGAGACCAGAGGGAUUUGGGAAAUGAAAUAAGAUCCAUCUUGCUGGCACAUUUUUUCCCCUUGUCUAUUUUUGGAAUUUAAAAAAUUCCCCCAGAUUUGUCUUUUACAGACCAGCCUUUUGUUCAGCGACCAGCAUUGAGCAGCCUCCGUUUCACAGAGAGCAGGUGAGCUUUGGCAAGCCAACAUGCAAAAUACAGAGCUGGAAACUAUUAAUAUCUUUUACUGCUGGAGAACGGCAGGGCUUGGCGCAGGUGCUAUUUGUUUUCUUUAACUGGCUUUUCAGCUAUGCAACUUGCAACCAAAUACUAGACGAACAAGAAGAUUUCCAGUUAGUGAGCGGGUUGUGAUCAACCCAGAACUCUGUGAUGCCUGCCAUGACCGAGCAGGUUUGACUUGGGGAAUUACACCAUGGAUCUGACCAUGCAGCUGGGCUGGGUGUGUUUAUACGACUGAGUGGGAGGCAGCCUGGUUCUGCUCAUCGGACUCUAGACAGACUCAGGAAACCUGGGCUCUGACUCCUGGCUGUGGUAUUAACUUUUGAGGGGACCUCAGCAUGUCACUUAAGGCCCAAUUCUCCAGUUGGCUUGCAAUCUACUUUUUCCACUGGCUUUAAAUGGAGCAGGGGACCUUUGUUGCCUAUGAAAAUUGAGCCUCCAAACACUUCGGUCUCCCCAUGUUUAAAACAAGGAGGAGAAUAUUUUGAGAUCAAUGGAUAAGAACACCUGGGAGCGCUAAUACCUCUGUACCCUGCCAAGAUACUGGGAGAUUAAGCAAAUAUUUUGAAGGGCUGUAAGAUCUCAUGAGGCAGGUAUGGGGCUGUUUAGUAUAUCCAGGAUAUAUUUUACUCCCUCCUUUUAUUUUUUUCCACAGACGGGAGACUCAGGCAGAGAGAGGGACUAAGACACAUGCCCUUUUUUGUUUUGGUUUCAGCCAUACUGAUUUGCUCUGUGAAAACUAAACUAAGAGCACCUGCAGUACCCCUUACUGGGACUCACUGGAGGGACUUGGAACUGAAGACAAAGAGCACAUCUAAUGGUGCCCUAAGAUUUAGCCUGAAUAUCACCAAAGACAUAGCUGAAAAAGUAAAGAAUUUUGGGAAUGCUUUGUCUGGCUGUGUAGGCUACAACUCCAAACAGGAUGUCAUGAAGUUGAUAAAAGGUUUGGAAGAGAUUUGCCCUGUAGUGGGAGACUCCAUCCACUCAGUUCGGGGUAGCACGUUUUAAGGAAGAUAAUCGACUAACUUGAGUGUGUGCAAAGAGAAUAAAAUGAAUGAUAAAGAGGUUUUGAAAACAUGACCUGUAAGGAAAGGUGGAAGGAAGUGAAUUUGUUUAGUCUAGAAGAGAGAAGAAUGAGGGGAACAUGAUAAUGAUUUUUCAAUAUUUGCAAAAGGGAUAGCAACUCUUCUCCAGAACCAUGGGAAGGGCAAGAAGAAAUCAGCUUAAUUUAUGGCAAGGAAAUUUUAGACAGAACUGUAGGAAAAGCCAAGAGAAAGCUCUGAGAUGGGCUACGUAGAGAAAUGUCCAUCAUGGGAAUUUUUUAAGAACAGACUGUAGCAAUUCAGAUGCAAGCACAGGUACUUCACAAAACAAACAAUGGUGUUUGCAGAUACAAAGAUACUAGACUGUUGAGUAUGGACAGACAGUUGCUUAUACAAAACUGUUCUGAAUGUCACCCAGGGGUGACAGCACUGAAUACCAGUUGAUUCAUUCAAAAUUAAAUAAAUAUAACUGGUGUGGGGGUAACAAACAGCACUUCUGUCUCCAAAAUUGCUUUCAGACCUCAUCUCUAAAGGAUAAUGCAUUUCUUAAAAAGCAAUAAUGACAAAGGAAAUGACAAAGAAAGGUGAUUAUGGUACUGACCUCAACAGCAGAGUGCUACAGCACCUGGAAGGCUUUCAAAGCUGGCAGAUCACAGUAUAAAUAAAGUAUAAAUAAUCUAAUACAUUGUCUGGCUCAGGUAAUGCAGCCUUUAGAGGAUGCACCUUUAUCUCUUCUUCCUCUCACCUUCUGUGCCUGAAGAGUAAAAAUAGCAACUUUAUAUGUAUUUUUACACUCCUAAUCAGUGCUCAAGUCAGUGUUCUUACAGCUCCGUCUCCCUGCAGCACGGGAAAUCGAUCCUGCUGCACCGCAUGACGGAGGAAGUUCAAGGAAGUUCAAGUGUGUCACCUCACGUCCCC